GCCUGUGGCACAGGGACGGUGUGGGGGGGAGGGUCGGGCUGCGCCCCAGACCCCAAAUGCGCAGGAGGACACGAUCCUUCCCCCUAAGAUGUCCGUGUCCGACUUCCAAGGUGCAGAGACCCAGGCAGCCCCCCUGGGGAAACUGCCACCAGCUGUGGCCCCGCUGAGUCCUCCCGGGCUUUCGGGGAGGGGUCCCAGGGCACAGACCAGAGGCUGACAGAUACGCUCACUCAGGGGCGAAGUCUCGGGUCUGGCCCUGCUGCAGGAAAUGCCUGUCACUGCACGGUGGGUGUGGGGGUCCCCACUACCUGUUUCCUAAGGGCCAUCAGCCAGGAGGGGCACUGUACCUCUGCACCAGGCCUGCACCUCCCAGGCCACAGCCCCAGCUUCUAGAAGUGGCCCAGGGCUUCCUCUCCACAGUAGGCCCUGAGCACCCACUUCCCAAAGCACGCACACCCCAGGGGCGAUGGCCAGCUCGCCAGGUGUGAGUGAGCACGCCCAGCCAACAACUGCAGUUUUCAAAAGGAUGUAUCUGGCCAGGUGUGGUCGCUCACGCCUGUAAUCCCAGCACUUGAGGAGGGUGAGGUGGGAGGAUGGCUGGAGCCCAGUUCGUGACCAGCCCAAGCAAGACACUCUCCCUACAAAAAUACAAACAUAAGCCGGCAGUGGUGGCGCCUGUAGUCCCUGCUAGGGUGUGACGCAGGAGGGUCCCUUGAGCCCAGGAGGUCGAGGCUGCAGUGAGCUGUGACUGCACCACUGCACUCCAGCCUGGGCCACGGAGACCCUGUUGAUAAAUCUGGUGACCUCAGCCAGGGGACAGCAGAGGCUGUGUGGACCUCGGAAAGAACAGACAGUGAGUGCAUCGGCCACAGGACUGUCUCCCAGCCCCUUCUGGAACUUUCCAGGCCUGUUUUCCUCCAGAGCUGGAUGGCCCCAGGAAGGGAACAGCCACAUGAGGGCAGGAGCCAUCGUUAGGGCUGUCCCUGUCACGCUGGAGCCCAGGCCCUGCAGCAGGGGACCUCGAGGUCCACCCAUGGGUGCACCACAGCUGCCCUAGCCAUGCCGGAGCCUUCAUGGGCUCAUCUCGGACACUGGCACCUGAACCGGCAGGUUUUCUGCAGCUAACUCGGAGGCUGCUCUCCUGGGCACCAAGGAGCCUGUCUGUGUUCCCAGCAGGGCCACCAGGUGUCACUGCUCUCCCAAGCCCGCCCGUGGGCCCCUGAGCUCUGUUACCUGCAGCGAACUCCUCGAUGGUCAUCAGUGGAAAGCGGAUGAGGCCCAAGGCCUUGCCCAGAACCUUCCGCCGGUUCUCGGGCGUCACCUGCAGCUGCUGCCGCUGACACUCGGCCUCAGACCAGCGGACAACGGCGUUGAACAGCCGCACUUCACGGAUGCCCAGAGUGUCGCGCUCCAGGACGGCCACCAGCGUGUCUGCGGGGUGGGGAAGGGGCUGUGUGAACAGGACGCGCGCGUGCCCACCCUGCAGGAGGCAGGGAGACUGACAAGAACCAGCAGUUGCAGCUGCACCGGCAACUGCGGCCUAUGGCCCAAACCCGGCCCUGUAAUUGUAUGUGUAAAUAAAGCUUUAUCGACACAUGACCACA
Molecule: long non-coding RNA, 1604 nt
Organism: Cebus imitator (Panamanian white-faced capuchin)
Lineage: Eukaryota; Metazoa; Chordata; Mammalia; Primates; Cebidae
Exons: 2
Source: RefSeq, a predicted model, not a curated record